CGUCCCUCGAUGCGAUGCCUCAUGCCUGCCCGCCGCCGGGGGCCGCCGAAGAGGCGGCGCGCAUCUCCGAGCUCCAUCUCCGGCGGCGGCCACGCACCCCUCUGCUUGCCUAUGCGCGCGGUGGCGGAAGGCCUCAACGCACGCCACGGCGCGCGCACAAUACGUUCGACGAAAUGUCUAACCGAUAACUGAGGAGCUUCUCUCUCCAUCAUCUCGCCGUCCAUCACUCCAUCAGCACGGAGCUUGACGAGCAAAUGGUCACAAAAGGUAAGCCUAUGGACUCUGAUGAUUCGUACUAGGUGUAUGCUUUUUUAUCAGCAAGUCUAGUACUCUAGUUGAGAAAAAAAAUACUCCCUCCGUCUCAUAAUAUAAGGGAUUUUGAUUUUUUACUUGCAAUGUUUAACCACUCAUCUUAUUAAAAAAAUUUAAAAUUAUUAUUUAUUUUAUUUAUGACUUACUUUAUUAUCUAUAGUACUUUAAGCGCAACUUUUCGUUUUUUAUAUUUGCAAAAAAAAUCUGAAUAAGACGAGUGGCCAAACGUUGUAAGUAAAAACUCAAAAUCCCUUAUAUUGUGGUACGGAGGGAGUAUGUCGUAACGGCUGGCUUUACUCACAGGAAGUUGCUACCAUGUCGGAUACGAAACCCCAUAUAUUUUGAAGUUGUGGAAUUUCUAUACCCAUCAAAAAGGGAAAAUUUUGUAGCAUUUUAACACGGUUCAGAAUGGUUACAGCUAUCUAGCCCUUAUCAUCCAAAUUAGUACACUUAAUUGGUAGAUGAUCAAAAAGGUUUGUGUUCUGCGUAAACUGCCAUCAGGAGACGGCACGGCAGGGCACCAACCAAACUGGGCUUUUAUCAUCUGUUCGGCACAGCGGCCCUGGCGUUCUUGCUGAUUCAUGCAGCUGCUGGAACUUGUGAGCUUGUGGUAUACAGGAGCUUGAACAGGGCAGUAAUCAGGUUCCACCGCCACCUCCGUCACUUGACACAUUCCUUAUCACGAAUCUCACAGACAAGGUACAGUCUCGUCUGCUGUCCUUCCUCCCUACCAUCACAAAUUUAGUCAUAUCAGAAAGUCCAGAGUUGACAUCUCUGCAGCUGGGAUACUCCAAGGCACUGAAAGAGUUGGAAAUUGUAGACUGCAAGUCACUUGCUUCAGUUGAGGGCUUUGGAUCCUUGACAAACCUUAGGUUCUUGACAGUAUAUGAAUCGCCCAGCAUGCCUCAAUGUUUUGAGAUUCUAUCACAACAACAUGGGGCCUCUGAGAUCUUGUCCCGACUGGAAAAUCUUCAGAUCAGUGAUGGCUUUAUCCUUACUGUUUCCCUCUGCAAACAGCUCACGUCUCUGAGAGAUCUAUUCUUCUGGCCUGAACGAAGCAAGCCUGAUGCGACGAUGAUGGGUCUGACAGAGGAACAAGAGAGAGCACUCCAGCUUCUGACAUCCCUCGAACGUCUCAACUUUUGGGGGUUGCCGAAUCUCUUGUCCCUUCCUGCAAAUCUAGCAAGCCUGACCUCCCUCGAGUGGUUAGAUAUCUCAGACUGCCCCCGCAUGGCAAGGCUGCCAGAGAUGGGCCUUCCACCAUCGUUGAGGAGAUUAUCUUUAUGCCGUUGCAGCGACGACCUAAGUAUGCAGUGCAGAAUGGUAGCAACGGAGAAGCUACAGGUCGAGAUUGAUGACGAAACUAUUGAUUAAUCACUUGAGUUAUCGGUACAGGGGUUAAAGAGGUAGGCAGCAAGAAGGCAGUUACCAGCGGAAAGGAAUGGGCAUUUUGUCUUGAGAACUAAUUGAUACCCUCAGCCUCCUCUUGCUUAAAGUAAUUAAUUGAUCUUCCUGAAGAGUGCAGACUGCAGCCUUACAAGAUUUUGUACAUAUUGCUGCUACCUGCUCUGCACUCACUUCCUUCAGCGCAUGUGUUUGUGGAGUUGUCAGUGUGUCAUAUCUUUGGCCUUGCAAGGACUAAUAUGUACGCUUGAUUGGUGUGAAAGCCCUUGCUUAAAGUGAUGAAUGUUUUGCUCCGGGCAUAUAAGACAUUGUUCUCAUUCUUGUGCAUAUCCUGGUUGGCGCCUCACAUUGGCGUGCUGUGGGUGGCCAGAAAAUUUAACUGCCAACAUUGUAUGUCUUGAUUUUGUCAUUCUUUUUGGAAGGUCUUCCUAAAUGCAUUGCACAGGAGGGACAAAGUUGUUCCAAUAAGCCUGCUCAAAGCGCAUGCAACACUCUACUUAUUGAAGGCUUUGAUAGUUAUAUUGGAGUAGACCACAGAUCCGAAGCUCGCACAAAGAACAUUUUGGUCCUAAGGGUUAUGAUACUGGUGCAAUUAAAGGGUCAGUUGGCCCGUUACAUAUAUGAAAAAUAAGGAUACAUGGAUUUUUUUUUUGAACUGAAAAGCAUACGUGGAUUUUGCAGACAAUUGUUCCUUAUCGAAAUCAUUUGAGCUGAAUCGGUCUGACAUCGAUGGCUUCAACGUUCGGUGAUGAUGACUAAUUACAGUUUGAGCCGAUUUCGUUCUAUAGUACCGUAGCAAUUUCUUCCCAGUUCCCUUUAUGUGAUUCCAGUCAUUGCAAAUGAGUUCUUGUGGAUUGGCCAAACCGUUUAUAUUACAUUUUCUAUUACUCCUUCCUGUCAAAAGUAUUUGAAGUCUAGAACAGUAUUCUGUCAAAGAUUUAAAAUUUUAACCAUCUUGUUGUGACCGUGUUGUAAUUUUGCCUGACAGUAUUUUGCAUUUUUGCAACCUCUUGAUUAAUGCAAUCAUUCUUGUCCUGUAA
Molecule: non-coding RNA, 2756 nt
Organism: Oryza sativa Japonica Group (Japanese rice)
Lineage: Eukaryota; Viridiplantae; Streptophyta; Magnoliopsida; Poales; Poaceae
Source: RefSeq, a predicted model, not a curated record